Molecule: ribosomal RNA, 2925 nt
Filed under: Shigella sonnei
Lineage: Bacteria; Pseudomonadati; Pseudomonadota; Gammaproteobacteria; Enterobacterales; Enterobacteriaceae
Description: 23S ribosomal RNA
Rfam family: Bacterial large subunit ribosomal RNA
Source: RNAcentral
GGGUUGUGAGGUUAAGCGACUAAGCGUACACGGUGGAUGCCCUGGCAGUCAGAGGCGAUGAAGGACGUGCUAAUCUGCGAUAAGCGUCGGUAAGGUGAUAUGAACCGUUAUAACCGGCGAUUUCCGAAUGGGGAAACCCAGUGUGAUUCGUCACACUAUCAUUAACUGAAUCCAUAGGUUAAUGAGGCGAACCGGGGGAACUGAAACAUCUAAGUACCCCGAGGAAAAGAAAUCAACCGAGAUUCCCCCAGUAGCGGCGAGCGAACGGGGAGCAGCCCAGAGCCUGAAUCAGUGUGUGUGUUAGUGGAAGCGUCUGGAAAGGCGCGCGAUACAGGGUGACAGCCCCGUACACAAAAAUGCACAUAUUGUGAGCUCGAUGAGUAGGGCGGGACACGUGGUAUCCUGUCUGAAUAUGGGGGGCCCAUCCUCCAAGGCUAAAUACUCCUGACUGACCGAUAGUGAACCAGUACCGUGAGGGAAAGGCGAAAAGAACCCCGGCGAGGGGAGUGAAAAAGAACCUGAAACCGUGUACGUACAAGCAGUGGGAGCACGCUUAGGCGUGUGACUGCGUACCUUUUGUAUAAUGGGUCAGCGACUUAUAUUCUGUAGCAAGGUUAACCGAAUAGGGGAGCCGAAGGGAAACCGAGUCUUAACUGGGCGUUAAGUUGCAGGGUAUAGACCCGAAACCCGGUGAUCUAGCCAUGGGCAGGUUGAAGGUUGGGUAACACUAACUGGAGGACCGAACCGACUAAUGUUGAAAAAUUAGCGGAUGACUUGUGGCUGGGGGUGAAAGGCCAAUCAAACCGGGAGAUAGCUGGUUCUCCCCGAAAGCUAUUUAGGUAGCGCCUCGUGAAUUCAUCUCCGGGGGUAGAGCACUGUUUCGGCAAGGGGGUCAUCCCGACUUACCAACCCGAUGCAAACUGCGAAUACCGGAGAAUGUUAUCACGGGAGACACACGGCGGGUGCUAACGUCCGUCGUGAAGAGGGAAACAACCCAGACCGCCAGCUAAGGUCCCAAAGUCAUGGUUAAGUGGGAAACGAUGUGGGAAGGCCCAGACAGCCAGGAUGUUGGCUUAGAAGCAGCCAUCAUUUAAAGAAAGCGUAAUAGCUCACUGGUCGAGUCGGCCUGCGCGGAAGAUGUAACGGGGCUAAACCAUGCACCGAAGCUGCGGCAGCGACGCUUAUGCGUUGUUGGGUAGGGGAGCGUUCUGUAAGCCUGCGAAGGUGUGCUGUGAGGCAUGCUGGAGGUAUCAGAAGUGCGAAUGCUGACAUAAGUAACGAUAAAGCGGGUGAAAAGCCCGCUCGCCGGAAGACCAAGGGUUCCUGUCCAACGUUAAUCGGGGCAGGGUGAGUCGACCCCUAAGGCGAGGCCGAAAGGCGUAGUCGAUGGGAAACAGGUUAAUAUUCCUGUACUUGGUGUUACUGCGAAGGGGGGGACGGAGAAGGCUAUGUUGGCCGGGCGACGGUUGUCCCGGUUUAAGCGUGUAGGCUGGUUUUCCAGGCAAAUCCGGAAAAUCAAGGCUGAGGCGUGAUGACGAGGCACUACGGUGCUGAAGCAACAAAUGCCCUGCUUCCAGGAAAAGCCUCUAAGCAUCAGGUAACAUCAAAUCGUACCCCAAACCGACACAGGUGGUCAGGUAGAGAAUACCAAGGCGCUUGAGAGAACUCGGGUGAAGGAACUAGGCAAAAUGGUGCCGUAACUUCGGGAGAAGGCACGCUGAUAUGUAGGUGAAGUCCCUUGCGGAUGGAGCUGAAAUCAGUCGAAGAUACCAGCUGGCUGCAACUGUUUAUUAAAAACACAGCACUGUGCAAACACGAAAGUGGACGUAUACGGUGUGACGCCUGCCCGGUGCCGGAAGGUUAAUUGAUGGGGUCAGCGCAAGCGAAGCUCUUGAUCGAAGCCCCGGUAAACGGCGGCCGUAACUAUAACGGUCCUAAGGUAGCGAAAUUCCUUGUCGGGUAAGUUCCGACCUGCACGAAUGGCGUAAUGAUGGCCAGGCUGUCUCCACCCGAGACUCAGUGAAAUUGAACUCGCUGUGAAGAUGCAGUGUACCCGCGGCAAGACGGAAAGACCCCGUGAACCUUUACUAUAGCUUGACACUGAACAUUGAGCCUUGAUGUGUAGGAUAGGUGGGAGGCUUUGAAGUGUGGACGCCAGUCUGCAUGGAGCCGGCCUUGAAAUACCACCCUUUAAUGUUUGAUGUUCUAACGUGGACCCGUGAUCCGGGUUGCGGACAGUGUCUGGUGGGUAGUUUGACUGGGGCGGUCUCCUCCUAAAGAGUAACGGAGGAGCACGAAGGUUGGCUAAUCUGGUCGGACAUCAGGAGGUUAGUGCAAUGGCAUAAGCCAGCUUGACUGCGAGCGUGACGGCGCGAGCAGGUGCGAAAGCAGGUCAUAGUGAUCCGGUGGUUCUGAAUGGAAGGGCCAUCGCUCAACGGAUAAAAGGUACUCCGGGGAUAACAGGCUGAUACCGCCCAAGAGUUCAUAUCGACGGCGGUGUUUGGCACCUCGAUGUCGGCUCAUCACAUCCUGGGGCUGAAGUAGGUCCCAAGGGUAUGGCUGUUCGCCAUUUAAAGUGGUACGCGAGCUGGGUUUAGAACGUCGUGAGACAGUUCGGUCCCUAUCUGCCGUGGGCGCUGGAGAACUGAGGGGGGCUGCUCCUAGUACGAGAGGACCGGAGUGGACGCAUCACUGGUGUUCGGGUUGUCAUGCCAAUGGCACUGCCCGGUAGCUAAAUGCGGAAGAGAUAAGUGCUGAAAGCAUCUAAGCACGAAACUUGCCCCGAGAUGAGUUCUCCCUGACCCUUUAAGGGUCCUGAAGGAACGUUGAAGACGACGACGUUGAUAGGCCGGGUGUGUAAGCGCAGCGAUGCGUUGAGCUAACCGGUACUAAUGAACCGUGAGGCUUAACCUUACAACGCCGAAG